CAAAUUUAUAGUUGUUGUCCCAAAAUGCAUGUCAUAAAGAAUAUUUGCGGUAAAGACAAAGAUGAUGACUUGAUUAGCAUCUAUAUUCCCAAGGCUGUUUUGCAUACUGAAACAAGCCUAAGGGCUUGAGUAAGAAAUACAGGUCCUCUCUGAUAGUAGAUAAAAUAGUAGGACCAAAGUGCAACUAUGCCAAUUGGAUAAGGAUUUCCAAUCUCAUCUCCUGCGCGUGUGUGGUGGGCUGUAGGCCAUUGAGAAAUCAUCCCCAUUGUUGCCUGCUUAGAGACGCUGAUGCGCCGCACGUCGUCGUCGGGCUGUGCUCCCUUUCCUGUAAGGGGAUUUUUUUUCUAUGCCGCCGUAGUUGUGGGGAGGAGGUCGCCGCGCCGAAAGGCGCUGCCGUCGUUCGGGUCGUGGCAUCGAGGUGUGCGUGGUGCUGUGCGCCAGGGCAACGCCGGCUGCGGCCGUUUGCUCGGACUUGAGCGUGGGGCCACCUCCAUCGCGUGAUGCGGCUGCGCUGCGAGGAGCCGGGCCGAGGUCCGCUCGGAGGAGCGGCGUGUGGUGGAUGUGGUCUCCGCGCCCGGAGGAGUGAUGCUUAUGCGCGCGUCCUCGACGAGGUUGCUGCCGCUGCAGUGAUGGCGAGAAAUACAUGAUACCUUCUUCUGUUUGUAUGAUUUGAUGAUUCUUCUUGAUUGAUUGAGAAAAGCAGUUAAUCUCCAGAUCACGGGAAGAACAAAAAUUAAACAAAAUUAGUGUUUCGUGAUCGA
This is a long non-coding RNA of Hordeum vulgare subsp. vulgare (domesticated barley), 761 nucleotides long. RefSeq lists it as uncharacterized. The transcript has 2 exons. The record is from RefSeq and is a predicted model, not a curated record. NCBI's taxonomy places the organism in Eukaryota, Viridiplantae, Streptophyta, Magnoliopsida, Poales, Poaceae.